Molecule: ribosomal RNA, 450 nt
Filed under: uncultured bacterium
Lineage: Bacteria
Description: partial 16S ribosomal RNA
Rfam family: Bacterial small subunit ribosomal RNA
Source: RNAcentral
GUGGGGAAUAUUGGACAAUGGGCGAAAGCCUGAUCCAGCCAUGCCGCGUGUGUGAAGAAGGUCUUCGGAUUGUAAAGCACUUUAAGUUGGGAGGAAGGGCAGUAAGUUAAUACCUUGCUGUUUUGACGUUACCGACAGAAUAAGCACCGGCUAACUUCGUGCCAGCAGCCGCGGUAAUACGAAGGGUGCAAGCGUUAAUCGGAAUUACUGGGCGUAAAGCGCGCGUAGGUGGUUUUGUAAGUUGGAGGUGAAAUCCCCGGGCUCAACCUGGGAACUGCCUCCAAAACUGCAUGACUAGAGUACGGUAGAGGGUAGUGGAAUUUCCUGUGUAGCGGUGAAAUGCGUAGAUAUAGGAAGGAACACCAGUGGCGAAGGCGACUACCUGGACUGAUACUGGCACUGAGGUGCGAAAGCGUGGGGAGCAAACAGGAUUAGAUACCCCAGUAGUCC